This 510-nucleotide ribosomal RNA is filed under the name uncultured bacterium. RNAcentral describes it as "partial 16S ribosomal RNA". It matches the Rfam family "Bacterial small subunit ribosomal RNA", at positions 28 to 507 of the family's 1533-position model. The record is from RNAcentral.
GACGAACGCUGGCGGCGUGCUUAACACAUGCCAGUCGAACGAAGAGCGAUGGAAGCUUGCUUCUAUCAAUCUUAGUGGCGAACGGGUGAGUAACGCGUAAUCAACCUGCCCUUCAGAGGGGGACAACAGUUGGAAACGACUGCUAAUACCGCAUACGAUCUAAUCUCGGCAUCGAGGAUAGAUGAAAGGUGGCCUCUACAUGUAAGCUAUCACUGAAGGAGGGGAUUGCGUCUGAUUAGCUAGUUGGAGGGGUAACGGCCCACCAAGGCGAUGAUCAGUAGCCGGUCUGAGAGGAUGAACGGCCACAUUGGGACCGAGACACGGCCCAGACUCCUACGGGAGGCAGCAGUGGGGAAUCUUCCGCAAUGGACGAAAGUCUGACGGAGCAACGCCGCGUGAGUGAUGACAGCCUUCGGGUUGUAAAGCUCUGUUAAUCGGGACGAAAGGCCUUCUUGCGAAUAGUGAGAAGGAUUGACGGUACCGGAAUAGAAAGCCACGGCUAACUACGUG